RNAcentral lists this ribosomal RNA (448 nucleotides) under uncultured Planctomycetota bacterium. RNAcentral describes it as "bacterial SSU rRNA". It matches the Rfam family "Bacterial small subunit ribosomal RNA", at positions 217 to 656 of the family's 1533-position model. Lineage: Bacteria; Pseudomonadati; Planctomycetota. The record is from RNAcentral.
GCUUAGAGAGGGGUCAAUGUCCUAUCAGCUAGUUGGUAGGGUAAUGGCCUACCAAGGCUAAGACGGGUAGCCGGCCUGAGAGGGUGGUCGGCCACACUGGGACUGAGACACUGCCCAGACUCCUACGGGAGGCUGCAGUCGAGAAUCUUUCGCAAUGCCCGAAAGGGUGACGAAGCGACGCCGCGUGUGGGAAGAAGGCCUUCGGGUUGUAAACCACUGUCGGGAGUUAAGAAAUGCAAGGGUGUUAAUAGCAUCCUUGCUUGACUAAGGCUCCGGAGGAAGCCACGGCUAACUCUGUGCCAGCAGCCGCGGUAAUACAGAGGCGGCAAGCGUUGUUCGGAAUUAUUGGGCGUAAAGAGCACGUAGGCGGCUUUGUAAGUCAGUUGUGAAAGCCUUCUGCUCAACGGAAGAACAGCAUCUGAUACUGCAAGGCUAGAGUGCGGAAGGG